This 345-nucleotide ribosomal RNA is filed under the name Bacillus velezensis. Its description in RNAcentral is "bacterial SSU rRNA". It matches the Rfam family "Bacterial small subunit ribosomal RNA", at positions 604 to 947 of the family's 1533-position model. Lineage: Bacteria; Bacillati; Bacillota; Bacilli; Caryophanales; Bacillaceae. The record is from RNAcentral.
CCGGCUCAACCGGGGAGGGUCAUUGGAAACUGGGGAACUUGAGUGCAGAAGAGGGGAGUGGAAUUCCACGUGUAGCGGUGAAAUGCGUAGAGAUGUGGAGGAACACCAGUGGCGAAGGCGACUCUCUGGUCUGUAACUGACGCUGAGGAGCGAAAGCGUGGGGAGCGAACAGGAUUAGAUACCCUGGUAGUCCACGCCGUAAACGAUGAGUGCUAAGUGUUAGGGGGUUUCCGCCCCUUAGUGCUGCAGCUAACGCAUUAAGCACUCCGCCUGGGGAGUACGGUCGCAAGACUGAAACUCAAAGGAAUUGACGGGGGCCCGCACAAGCGGUGGAGCAUGUGGUUU